UGGAAAGUGUGUUAGCCAUGGAGGUGGGA
RNAcentral lists this non-coding RNA (29 nucleotides) under Mus musculus (house mouse). The record is from RNAcentral. Lineage: Eukaryota; Metazoa; Chordata; Mammalia; Rodentia; Muridae.